ACCCUGAAAUGCAAUCAGCUGUUUUUUCGCGCGCUAAUCAGACAACGAAUUGCAGACAUUUUUGGUGGACAGUUUAAAAUAAAAAAAUAAAAGAAUGCUAGCUAAUGAAGAAAGUCCUAUUAGCAGCAAAACAGUUACAGUAUGGACGAAAGGCGAAACGAGACUUCUGCUGAGUAAGUACGUCUCCUAUUUGCCGGACAUUGGUCCCUUCAAGCAGUUAAAGACAAAAAAGGACAUGUGGAUGAAAAUUGGCGCAGAGUUCGAUGGGAAAAGUUGGAAGCAGUGUGAAGAAAGGUAUAAGACCAUCAUGAAACGUAAAAAAGUGGCAGUAAAAAUAAGUAGCCAAUGUAUGAUAAAAAAAGAGGUCGCAGCAAAAGAAAAGCAAAGAAAGAGGAAAACGCUCCAAGAAACUAUGUUAGAAAUUGCUGCUAGGAAGGAGAAAGCCAGAGAGAAGCGGCACAAGUAAAGAAUGGAGAAAGCUGCAAGAAUCGAAAGCCUUUUGGAAAAGUGCAUCCGUGAAAAUAAACCAGCUUGAAGCUGUGGGCGUGUGAGGCUUCUGUAAUUUAGUAUAAAAUGGGAGGAAGUGCCUUUCGUUCCUGGCCCAACGUUUCGCCUAUUUAUUUUUUACUUUGUACCUGCUUGAAGCAAAUAAAUAUGAUCUCCCUUAUUUUCAAUAAAUACAAUAUAUAAAACAAAAGAAAAA
Molecule: long non-coding RNA, 703 nt
Organism: Anastrepha ludens (Mexican fruit fly)
Lineage: Eukaryota; Metazoa; Arthropoda; Insecta; Diptera; Tephritidae
Exons: 3
Source: RefSeq, a predicted model, not a curated record